Danio rerio (zebrafish) is the source of this 117-nucleotide ribosomal RNA. NCBI's taxonomy places the organism in Eukaryota, Metazoa, Chordata, Actinopteri, Cypriniformes, Danionidae. The record is from Ensembl.
UGCCACAGCCAUAUCACCUUGCAGCCCAAGAACGGUUACUCACUGAAUCUAAACAUGGCUGUGUCUUGCCAGUACCUGAAUGGGAGACCACAUUGGAAAACAAGGCUGCUGUUGGAA